GAGAAUAGAGAACUGUAUUGUUGUGUAUUGAUUAUGAAGAAGAUACAACACAUAUAUAUAUACAUAGAGAGUGAUAAGACGAGAUCUAGCCUACGAAUAUACACAAGAGAUAUUCUGAGGAAUAUACUAGAAUACAAUCUUAACGAGAAAUAUACACUUAUCACCUAUACGCCCCCGCAAGAUGAGCGACCAGAGGAGAGCCCAAUCUUGUAAUUCAAAAAUUCAUGUUGCGGUCUUGGUAACGGCUUUGUGAGAGCGUCUGCAAGUUGGUCUUCAGCUGGGACAUGAGUGACACGAAGAAACUUAGACUCAACAAGUUGACGAACAAAGUGAUAAUCAAUUGCAACAUGCUUCAUACGGGAAUGAAAAACGGGAUUUGCAGCGAGAUAAGUUGCACCAAUGUUGUCACAGUAUAUCACUGGUUGUGUAGACGGAGUAAGACCAAUCUCCUUCAUCAAGUAAACCACCCAACAGAGUUCAGACGCUGUGUCUGCAACAGAUUUAUACUCAGCCUCCGUUGAUGAACGAGCAACUGUUUUCUGCUUUUUAGAGGACCAGACAAUCGGAUGAGAGCCGAGGUAGACAAUGUAGGCGCCUGUAGACACAUAAGUAUCUUGAUCUUUCCCCCCAAGAAGCAUCGGAGAAAGCAUGUAGAUUCAGGUUGUUGUUGCGGCGAAGAAAAAUUCCCUGAUCACGAGUACCGGAUAAGUAACGCAGAACACGUUUAGCAGCCUGCCAGUGUAUAUCAGUGGGACGAUGCAUGAACUGCGAUAACUUAUUCACAGCAAAGGCAACGUCGGGUCUUGUAAAGUGAAGGUACUGCAGACUGCCGACAACAGUCCGAUAUUGACUACCAUCAGGGAGAGGCGUGCCGGAGUGAAGGUGCAGAGCACAGUUUUCGGACAGAGGAGUUGGAGCAGGGUUAGCAUCCAACAUGUUGGUGCGAGCAAGGAGAUCCGUGAUGUACUUGCGCUGCGUGAGGAGAAGACCUUUGGAAGAUCGAGUGGCCUCAAUACCCAAGAAGUAGCUGAGAGCGCCCAUGUCUUUGAGGGAGAAAUGACUACCCAAUAGAGAGAUGAAACGAUCAAUAGCUGAGGAGUUAUUACCUGUGACCACAAUGUCAACAACAUAAACGAGAACCAGAAGUAUUGUGCCAGGACGGAGCAAAAUAAAGAGCGAGGCAUCACACAGUGAGUUGGUGAAGCCGGUCUUGAGAAGGAAUGUGCGUAGCUCCGUGUACCAGGCGCGGGGAGCCUGUUUCAGACCGUAAAGGGCUUUAUUAAGCUUGCAGACAUGAUUCGCUUUGUCUCGAUCAACAAAACCAGAAGGCUGUGCUAUGUAAACAUCUUCAGUGAGCUUGCCCUGUAGGAAUGCAUUGUUGACAUCAAGCUGCCGUAGAUCCCAACCACGAUCCACCGCCUGACCGAGAACGAGACGAACAGUGGCCGCUUUUAUUACCGGACUGAAGGUUUCGGUGUAGUCAACUCCCGGUCGUUGAUGAAAACCCUUGGCGACGAAGCGAGCUUUGAACUUGUCAAUUUCACCAGACAGUAGGCGUUUGAUCCGGAAAACCCAUUUUGUGCCAACCAAUUUUUGCGACGAGUGAGGAGGGACAGGAUCCCAAGUUUGAAACUUCACUUGUGCAUCAAAUUCAGACCGCAUUGCCUUCCGCCACCGAUCAUCUUUCAACGCCUGAGCCACGGAUGUUGGUUCAGUCUCACGAGCAGAGGUAGCAACCAUCGCAAAUUUGGGAUUCGGUUUGACAAUGUUGUUUUUGGCUCGUGUGACCAUCGAGUGUUGAUUGCACGGCGGAGAAGAAGAUGAGUCAGUCGGAGGAGUGGGCGCUGGUGUUGGGCUGCCAGUAAUGACCUGAGAGCUUGAUGGGCCUGGAACAAGCCCAAAGGAAGAGGUUCGGGUAUUUCCACAAUCGGGCCCAGUGGUUGAUGUUUCUGUCACGGAGCUGUCUGGAGCAGCGUUUGCGGACGGAGGUGGAUUCGCCGGUGGUGAAGGAUCGGAGCCUAGGGGCGACUGAUCAGCUGACGACGGUGGAUUCGAGUGGCCAGGAAGUUGGAAUAGCGAAGGAAACCAGAGAGUGGAGGGAAGGUUAGGUGUUUGGCUGGAAGGAAGAUUUUGAAAAGGAAAAGAAGUCUCAUGAAAUUGGACGUGACGAGAGAUAAAAAUUCGUUUGGUUGAUGGAUUGAGGCAGAGAUAGGCACUUUGGGUUUGAGAGUAACCGAGAAAAACGCACGGAGAUGAGCGAGCUUCAAGUUUGUGACUGGUGUAUGGCCGGAGCCAGGGGUAGCAGAGGCAGCCAAAGACUUUUAGUUUGGUGUAAUUAGGAGUGAUCCCAAAGAGACAUUCAAAAGGAGAGGAGUUGGCAAGAGUGGAAGUGGGCAUUCGAUUUAUGAGAUAGGCUGCAGCGGUUAAGGCAUAACUCCAAUAGGAGAUCGGAAUGGAAGCAUGAGAAAGAAGGGCUAGGCCUGUUUCGACAAGAUGACGAUGCCGUCGUUCAGAGAAGCCAUUGUGUUGUGGUGUGUGAGGUGGGGAAGUGAGAUGGGUGAUACCGUUUUGGGCAAGGUAGGUGGCUAAAGCAAGAUAUUCUCCGCCAUUGUCAGAGUAAAGAGUGGUGAGCUUGGUUUGAAGUUUGUUUUCAGCAAGAUUUUUGUAGCGGGUGAAGGUCUCGAGAACAUCAGAUUUUCGGCGAAGAGGAUAUAACCAAAUAUAGUGUGUGAAGUGAUCGACAAAAAUAACAUAAUAUUUGUAGUUGUCGAUAGAGUGAACGGGGGAGGUCCAAACAUCGGAGUAGACGAGUUCAAUGGGUUUGCUAGAGGUGAGAGUGGAGGAGAAGAAGGGGAGUUUGUGACUUUUGGAGAUUGAACAAGCAUUGCAUAAAAGAGAUGGAUCUUUAUUAGAAACAGGCAAAGAGUAAUGAGAAACAAUUGUUUUAAGAGUAGAUAAAGAAGGGUGUCCAAGACGAGAAUGCCAAAGAGGCAGAGGACAUUUUAUUGAAAUUGUAAAAGCAGAAGCAGAGGAUCCAUCCAAUUGAAAUUCUGGCCAUUCAUAUCCACCAUUAGUCGUCCUUCCUGUGGUUAAUUGCGCCCCCGAGCUUAGAUCCUUCACCUGAAACAAAUCAGGAAAGAAUUCCACCGAGACAGAGUUAUCAACACAUAGUUUACGUACUGAGAUCAAGUUGCGAGCAAUAUCUGGGGCACGUAAAACAUUAUUAAGGGAGAUACGACGAUGAGAGUGUGGUAAAGAGAGGGAACCAGUGUGUGUGAUUGGUAGGCUCUCGCCGUUGCCGACAAUCACUUCAUCGGAGCCGGUGUAGGGAGAGUGAGUAGCGAGGUUGGCGAGAUCAGAGGUGAGGUGGUGUGUUGCUCCGGUGUCCAGAAGCCAUGCCGAGGGGUCUGGCGGAAGCACAGACGCAUUGUAUGCGCGUGGAGUCCAGGUGCUUGCUCCCUUGGAGUGAGACGGUUGUGACGUCUGAGUUAUCAGCUUGAAUUGGGGGCAGUACUUGGCAAUGUGACCUUGAGUACCACAAGCCUGACACUUUCCAAGAUAUGGGCGCCGAGAAGACUGCUGCUGCUGCGGAGAACGAGACACGUUGGCCUGCUGCUCAGAGGUGGAGUUAUUGUUGCGCCAGUUGCGAGACUUGUUCUGCACGUAAUUAGCGGUGACGGGGAAGGAUGACUGUUGUGACUGGACAGCAGUGAGAGCAGUUUCCCGGUUCAGUAGCUUCUCAUGCAGCUCAGCGAAUGAGAUGGGAAUGUCACGACUGUGAACCGACUCAAUGACGUGUUUGUAGUCAUCACCGAGACCAUCAAGAACGAUGUCAGUGAGAUCUUCACUGUCAACAGGGCUGCCGAGGAGUGUGAGAGCAUCGGCUUUGGUUUUGAUGAGUUGCAUGUACCCAUCAAUGUCCUUUGUGCCCUUAACACAAAGCUUGAGCUGUUGCUUGAGUUGUUUGAUGUGUCCCCGCGACGGCUUCCCGUACGUUCCGGCGAGGGUGGUCCAGGCUUGACGAGUGGUCUCACAGGUGGCGAUGAGCGGCUGCAGGGGUGUGUCAAUGGUACCCAUGAGAGCACUGUAGAGGAGACUAUCCUGUCGCUGCCAAGUGAGGAAGGAUGGAUUUGGCACAUCGACGUUGUUCUCCUUGGUCGUUGGUGAGGGAGGCGUGGUGUCCUCAAUGAAUCGAACGAGAUCAUGGCCCUUUAGUAAGGACUUGAUCUGAAUGCUCCAGGUGAGGUAGUUGGUUGGUCCCAACUUAGUGAUGUUGAUCAUGUUGAGGGCAGUGAGCGAAGACUGCGGAUCGGUGGGAUUAACGAGACUAGAAGAGGCAGCGGGAGGUAGGUUUGCCAUUGGAGAGAAAAAAAAAAGAGAAUCUGUUGUUGUUUAACAAGAGAGCUCUGAUACCAUGUAGAGAAUAGAGAACUAUAUUGUUGUGUAUUGAUUAUGAAGAAGAUACAACACAUAUAUAUAUAUACAUAGAGAGUGAUAAGACGAGAUCUAGCCUACGAAUAUACACAAGAGAUAUUCUGAGGAAUAUAGUAGAAUACAAUCUUAACGAGAAAUAUACACUUAUCACCUAUAUUUAGUCCAAACUAAUUCACUAUUUUCUAUAAGAACCGCAAACCCUAAUCCUAUCUCUUAAUUAGUCAGACAACAAGAAGACCGAGAAAAAGAAAUGGGCUCGACACAGAUCAAAGUGAUGUUCUUCUUUUAAUUUAUUAUCAUUGUUUCCUUGUAU
RNAcentral lists this long non-coding RNA (4747 nucleotides) under Capsella rubella. Its description in RNAcentral is "long non-coding RNA (CRUB_LNC001968)". Lineage: Eukaryota; Viridiplantae; Streptophyta; Magnoliopsida; Brassicales; Brassicaceae. The record is from RNAcentral.